GUGGUAAUGCCGGAUGCUCCGGUUGGAUGCAUGUCCUUCCGGGAAAGGUUCCAUCGGUAUGGGAUGGGGUCGCGUCCUAUCAGCUUGAUGGCGGGGUAACGGCCCACCAUGGCUUCGACGGGUAGCCGGCCUGAGAGGGCGACCGGCCACAUUGGGACUGAGAUACGGCCCAGACUCCUACGGGAGGCAGCAGUGGGGAAUAUUGCACAAUGGGCGCAAGCCUGAUGCAGCGACGCCGCGUGCGGGAUGGAGGCCUUCGGGUUGUAAACCGCUUUUGAUCGGGAGCAAGCCCUUCGGGGUGAGUGUACCUUUCGAAUAAGCACCGGCUAACUACGUGCCAGCAGCCGCGGUAAUACGUAGGGUGCAAGCGUUAUCCGGAAUUAUUGGGCGUAAAGGGCUCGUAGGCGGUUCGUCGCGUCCGGUGUGAAAGCCCAUCGCUUAACGGUGGGUCUGCGCCGGGUACGGGCGGGCUGGAGUGCGGUAGGGGAGACUGGAAUUCCCGGUGUAACGGUGGAAUGUGUAGAUAUCGGAAAA
RNAcentral lists this ribosomal RNA (534 nucleotides) under Bifidobacterium dentium. RNAcentral's name for it is "bacterial SSU rRNA". It matches the Rfam family "Bacterial small subunit ribosomal RNA", at positions 160 to 704 of the family's 1533-position model. Lineage: Bacteria; Bacillati; Actinomycetota; Actinomycetes; Bifidobacteriales; Bifidobacteriaceae. The record is from RNAcentral.